This 301-nucleotide ribosomal RNA is filed under the name uncultured bacterium. Its description in RNAcentral is "partial 16S ribosomal RNA". It matches the Rfam family "Bacterial small subunit ribosomal RNA", at positions 509 to 808 of the family's 1533-position model. The record is from RNAcentral.
CAGCCGCCACGGUAAUACGGAGGGGGCUAGCGUUGUUCGGAAUUACUGGGCGUAAAGCGCACGUAGGCGGCUUGGUAAGUUAGAGGUGAAAGCCCGGGGCUCAACCCCGGAAUUGCCUUUAAGACUGCCGAGCUAGUAGGUGAGAGAGGUGAGUGGAAUUCCGAGUGUAGAGGUGAAAUUCGUAGAUAUUCGGAAGAACACCAGUGGCGAAGGCGGCUCACUGGCUCAUUCUAGACGCUGAGGUGCGAAAGCGUGGGGAGCAAACAGGAUUAGAUACCCGGGUGUCCCUGUCUCUUAUACA